UGUUGAAGCAACAUCUGGUCUGCGCUGCUCUUGAACACCCAUUGAGUUUGCUUCAUGAUGAGAAAUAUUUUGGCUCUAGUUUAAGCAAUGCGCUGAUGUCCCUUAAAAAUAAAGGAGACCUGAGCUUUGAUCCUUCACGUGAUUCUUCUGCUAGAAUAUGGAGCUACAUUGGGCAUGAGAAAAUGCAGAGUGAUAGACAUGCAGCGUGAUAGACAUGCAGAUAGAGUCCCACCAGAUACAGAGUGAUAGACAUGCAGCGGAAUGAAGUUCUUGAAGAGAUUGAGGAAAGCAAAGCUUCUUCCAUUCCAGAUAUAUGAAGGUGCGGUCUAUAUGCACCAAGGGAAGACCUAUGUGGUCAAGGAAUUGGAUAUAUCGGAAAAGAUUGCUUUGUGCUAUGAAGCCAACUUGCAUUAUUAUACAAAAACCCGUGAUUAUACAGAUAUUGAUGUCCUUGGAGGUGAUAUUUUUAAUGUGAUUCCCUUUGAAGAUUGAAUUAUGACAGCAACUUCUUGUCCUGCAAACAUUUAGGCCUAUCCACCAAGGGCCUUCAAGAACCAGUCUUCAAGAACAGCAGCUCAAGCACUUUCUUGUAAAGUAACAACUACUUGGUUUGGUUUCUAUUGCAUACAAAGAGGAAGCAACAAAGUCUUAGAUACUUUUGAUCUUUCACUACCCAAAUAUUCAUAUGAAUCUCAGGCAGUUUGGAUUCCAGUUCCUCAGUCAAUUAAAAAAUUGGUCGAGGAGAAACAAUUUUCCUUUCGUGGGGGUUUGCAUGCUGCUUCACAUGCUCUUCUCAAUGUAGUGCCUUUAUAUUUAAGAUGAAACUCGUCUGACUUAGCUCCAGAGUGUCCAAACCCUCAUGAUAGCCGUUAUUUUCCUGAAAGAAUACUUGUUUAUGAUCAGCAUCCAGGAGGGACAGGUGUCUCAAUGCAGAUUCAACCUUAUUUCACAGAGCUGUUGAAUGCUGCUUUGGAACUUCUCACAUGUUGCCACUGCUCAGGAGACACUGGCUGCCCAAAUUGUGUUCAAAGUAUGGUUUGUCACGAGUACAACGAGGUUAUACACAAGGAUGCUGCGAUUAUGAUUCUUGAGGGUGUUCUGGAUGCAGAGUCUUUCUUUGGAGAAGCAAACGACUCUUCCUAAAACCAUAGCGAGUCCUGAAUCAUUAGCGCUUGCUAAUAUGGUUCUCUUACAGCCUGGGGAGGGUUUACUGAAUUUGUCAGUUGUACAUGUAUCGUUGACUGUUGCAGAGCCUACUACAGUGGCAAGUAACAUUGUUUAUGAAAUUAUGAAGGCCAACUUCAUAUCAAAAAAGCCAAACCAUACAUCUUAGUCUCUAAAUGAUUAGUUAUCUUUGGUCGAGUUUUUUGUCCUCCUUGCAAAGAUUUCAAAUUAGCUUGUGAAGCUUGCGAAGUCGCUUGCAAUCAAAGAAAAAUCAAGGACAUGGAUACUUGUAAAGAAGUCUAUUAUCAACUUUUUCUACCUCAUUUUCCGUCA
RNA transcript from Populus trichocarpa (black cottonwood), 1497 nucleotides. RefSeq lists it as uncharacterized. The record is from RefSeq and is a predicted model, not a curated record. The transcript is spliced from 9 exons. NCBI's taxonomy places the organism in Eukaryota, Viridiplantae, Streptophyta, Magnoliopsida, Malpighiales, Salicaceae.